GUACCUUUCUUGGCUGAUCCCUUUCGCUGUAUGGCGUGCUCGUUUGGGUUGGGCGUCGGCUAAGAGUGCUCGGAGUGUGGAUUAACUCCAGUCUCCUAUCAGGUGAUUGAUUAUGGAAACGUUUCAACUUCAACCCGUAACAGUUGGAUUCACAACGGAUAUGGGGUAGGAAGGUAUUUGGAACGUUCUUCAACGAGUAGAUCUCUUGUGAGGAUUAAAGGCUACCGAUCGAGGAGUGUGUGAAAAGCUUGGAUCAUCGGAGUGACUAAAUCUAGUCAUCAACUUCGGCAAAGGUAUGAACCCAAGGGCCAUUGUGGAUGGUGGCCGAAUGUGUAAGUGA
Molecule: long non-coding RNA, 340 nt
Organism: Gossypium arboreum
Lineage: Eukaryota; Viridiplantae; Streptophyta; Magnoliopsida; Malvales; Malvaceae
Exons: 4
Source: RefSeq, a predicted model, not a curated record